This 1779-nucleotide long non-coding RNA is filed under the name Homo sapiens (human). Its description in RNAcentral is "HSALNT0377789". Lineage: Eukaryota; Metazoa; Chordata; Mammalia; Primates; Hominidae. The record is from RNAcentral.
CAGCCUAGCUGGCCGUCUCGCAGGUCCCUCUCACCCCCUGCGCCGCCGUCGCACCGUGCCCUCCCCCAUUGCGGGCUCUGUCAUUCUCAAACCCAGGUCGACCCACUCUUCCCGCCCACUGGCCCGCCGCAGCUCCCUCCAUUGGCUCGCGGCACCUGUCCGUUUCCUGGGAGAGUUCAGCACCUCCCGGCAGGAAGAGGCUCCGGCCUCAUUGGGUGCGUGAGAAGGGAAGGGUGGAUCCUAAAAGAUCCCUUUUACAGUUGGAUUCUCCCUCUUGGAUCUGGCUCUGCCUUAGUCCGACCUAGAGGGAUCAGCUUCGCCCACGCCCACUCUCACCCGGAACCUUUCAUCUCUUAUUGAAGCCUUUUAGGCCCAUUGGGAUGUUCAUUAGAACUCUGAAAACUACAGUUCUCCCCUUUAUGAGGACUGCACCACAGCUCGCCCUCUCCUGGGUUCCGGUAAGAAGAGAUUCCAAUACCACUCUUUUUUCAGAAUUCAGAAAGGCAAGAGACCACCUUACUGAGCUUCAAACUGGGGCUGGGAACGCUGCCAUGAAUUGGGCUUGGUCUGUCUGAAGGGAGCCACCUUUUCGACAAUCCUUAGACUUCUUUUGCCUGUUGGAAUUACACCUUGGAUCGUGGCGAAGUCUAUAGAGGUCAGAUUAAGAAGAACCAAAGCAGAAUAAACGUAGAACCCGAUGCUGAGUUCACGAGUGAGGACGACCUCUUCCUAUAUGCUUUGCUAUACCCUGCGUUUUGAACAUUAAGGACGAGAUAGGAGGCCCAUAAUGUUUCUUCUUGCUUUAAUCCUGUCGUGGCAACGUUGACUUCCAGUAAGAAAGCCUGGUUGCAGAGUGAGCCCAUGGGACAGCCCUCUGAAAUUAUACUGCUUACAACCAUGCUGAGUCUGCAAGGACUUCGUCCAAGCCUUUCCGUCCAGGACCUCAAACAGAUCCAAUCACAAGAAGAGAGAUUUCAGGAAAGAGAAAAUUAUUCCUAUCAUCGGGGUUUUUGAAGAACAUGAAAUGACUGGGAAAAUAAUCAUGUUAAGUGGAAAAAAAAAAGAAAUCUAUCUGUUGUAAUUUUCAAAUAAUUUUUAAAUAAAUUUGAAAAAUUAAGAGAACUAUAUAUAUAAUACAUUCCUAAUCUUGUGAAAAAUAUAUAUGCAUUAAUAUUAUUGAAAGAAAUAUAUCAAAAGGUGAACAGCAAUUAUCACCAAUCUAGAUUAUGAGAUUAGGAGUGAUUUUUUUUCUUUGUCCUAUACUAUUUAAUAUUUUCUACCAUUAAAAUAUUCUGAUUUUCUAAUUAGAAUAGUACGUUAGACAAAGAAGGACAAAUAUCACAUGAACUCUCACUCUCUUAUGGAACAGAUCUUGUGGAAUCUAAAAAAGUUGAACUCAUAGAAAAAGAGGAAAAUGAUGGUUACCAGUUAGAAAAAAGGAAUAAGUUCAAGAGAUCUAUUGUACACCAUGGUCAAUAUAGUUAACAAUAUAUUUUAUACUUUAAAAUUGCUAAGGUAGUAGAUUUUAAGUGUUCUCACCACACAAAAAAAUAAGUAUGUGAAAAGCAUAUGGUAAUUAGCUUGAUUUAACCACGCCACAGUGCAUACAUAUGUCAAAACAUCAUGUUGUAUACUAUAAAUAUAUACACUUUUUGUCAAUUUUAAACAGGUUAUAAAAAAACAUGUUAUUGUUGAUAAUUAUGAAAAAUUUUAAUGAUGUGGAAAUGUGUACAGUAUAAUGAUAAAUGAAAGAGUAGUAAAAAUCCUUAUAAAAUAUAA